AGUGGCUCUCGGAGGCAAAGUCUUGGCGCUACGAAGUGCCCACGGCAUGACGGUCACAUUGUUGGCAUCAGCCAUUGUUGACAGCCAAAGCCGCCGUCACACUUGCCACAGCAACAAUAACAACAAAUGCAGCGGCAAGAACAACAACAAGUUAGGAGCAACAGCCAUGCAACGCCAACAACACAGCAGCAAUGCCGACCAGGAUAGACACAGAAACAGAAGAAGGGGGUCUGCUGCAAAUGCAUCCCCUUUGCCAACAUGGGAAAGUGACGGGGGAAGUCAAGGGCAGCUUCUGGAGUUCUUGUGAGGGGCCUAAUACUUAAAGUUCUGAAGCUUAAACUUAUUUAAACACAAUGGCCUUGUACAAAGAAAUGAAUGAAUGAAUUGCACGGUGAUUUGAUUCUAAGCAACAGCAAUUUAAAG
Non-coding RNA from Drosophila melanogaster (fruit fly), 423 nucleotides. The record is from Ensembl. NCBI's taxonomy places the organism in Eukaryota, Metazoa, Arthropoda, Insecta, Diptera, Drosophilidae.